This 21-nucleotide small nuclear RNA is filed under the name Arabidopsis thaliana (thale cress). RNAcentral's name for it is "snRNA_07128". Lineage: Eukaryota; Viridiplantae; Streptophyta; Magnoliopsida; Brassicales; Brassicaceae. The record is from RNAcentral.
CGAUCCUUUAGACCUUCGGAA